CGAAAGCCUGACGGAGCCAGACCGCGUGAGGGAAGAAGGCCUUUGGGUUGUAAACCUCUUUUCUCAAGGAAGAAGAAAGUGACGGUACUUGAGGAAUCAGCCUCGGCUAACUCCGUGCCAGCAGCCGCGGUAAGACGGAGGAGGCAAGCGUUAUCCGGAAUUAUUGGGCGUAAAGCGUCCGUAGGUGGUCACUCAAGUCUGCUGUCAAAGACAGUGGCUCAACUACUGAAAGGCAGUGGAAACUGAGAGACUAGAGAGCGGCAGGGGCAGAGGGAAUUCCCGGUGUAGCGGUGAAAUGCGUAGAGAUCGGGAAGAACACCGGUGGCGAAAGCGCUCUGCUGGACUGCAACUGACAUUGAGGGACGAAAGCUAGGGGAGCG
Molecule: ribosomal RNA, 380 nt
Filed under: uncultured Lyngbya sp.
Lineage: Bacteria; Bacillati; Cyanobacteriota; Cyanophyceae; Oscillatoriales; Microcoleaceae
Description: bacterial SSU rRNA
Rfam family: Bacterial small subunit ribosomal RNA
Source: RNAcentral